This 672-nucleotide ribosomal RNA is filed under the name Cladosporium herbarum. RNAcentral's name for it is "eukaryotic LSU rRNA". It matches the Rfam family "Eukaryotic large subunit ribosomal RNA", at positions 170 to 869 of the family's 3401-position model. Lineage: Eukaryota; Fungi; Ascomycota; Dothideomycetes; Cladosporiales; Cladosporiaceae. The record is from RNAcentral.
AGCCACCGACCUAAGUUCCUUGGAACAGGACGUCAUAGAGGGUGAGAAUCCCGUAUGCGGUCGGAAGGGCACCCUACACGUAGCUCCUUCGACGAGUCGAGUUGUUUGGGAAUGCAGCUCUAAAUGGGAGGUAAAUUUCUUCUAAAGCUAAAUAUUGGCCAGAGACCGAUAGCGCACAAGUAGAGUGAUCGAAAGAUGAAAAGCACUUUGGAAAGAGAGUUAAAAAGCACGUGAAAUUGUUGAAAGGGAAGGGAUUGCAACCAGACUUGCUCGCGGUGUUCCACCGGUCUUCUGACCGGUCUACUCGCCGCGUUGCAGGCCAGCAUCGUCUGGUGCCGCUGGAUAAGACUGGAGGAAUGUAGCUCCCUCGGGAGUGUUAUAGCCUCUAGUGAUGCAGCGAGCGCCGGGCGAGGUCCGCGCUUCGGCUAGGAUGCUGGCGUAAUGGUCGUAAUCCGCCCGUCUUGAAACACGGACCAAGGAGUCUAACAUCUAUGCGAGUGUUCGGGUGUCAAACCCCUACGCGUAAUGAAAGUGAACGGAGGUGAGAACCGCAAGGUGCAUCAUCGACCGAUCCUGAUGUCUUCGGAUGGAUUUGAGUAUGAGCAUAGCUGUUGGGACCCGAAAGAUGGUGAACUAUGCCUGAAUAGGGUGAAGCCAGAGGAAACUCUGGUG